CCUGGGUCUUGUAACCGACUCCCCUCCGUCCUGCUCCAUUCCGGCACCAGCUGUCAGCUCCGCCUGCCCGCCCGCCGCCAUCCGGCAGGGGGCGCCCUUCAAGGGAGGCCUCCUCCUGGCCUGCAACCUCACCGCCCCGGCAUUGCGCCUAGCUGGCGGUCCCGGCCGACGACCCGCUCCACGUCCCUGUUUUCCGGCCGCCGCACUGCUUCCCGCCGAGCUCCUCCUCCGUCUGGCUGCAGGACCCGCACCAGGACUAAGCCGCUGGGGCGGCCUAGCUCUCCUCUCCGGCCUCCGAUCCGGCACCGCAUGGGGGGGAGCAGACGUGCUCGGAACCCCCAGCUGCUCUUGUAGCCACGCCAUUCCCUUCUCCUGCACCACGGACCGCAGACCGGAC
Non-coding RNA from Pelobates cultripes (western spadefoot toad), 397 nucleotides. The record is from the annotation of a GenBank genome assembly. NCBI's taxonomy places the organism in Eukaryota, Metazoa, Chordata, Amphibia, Anura, Pelobatidae.